This 254-nucleotide ribosomal RNA is filed under the name uncultured bacterium. Its description in RNAcentral is "partial 16S ribosomal RNA". It matches the Rfam family "Bacterial small subunit ribosomal RNA", at positions 524 to 776 of the family's 1533-position model. The record is from RNAcentral.
UACAGAGGGUGCGAGCGUUAAUCGGAGUUACUGGGUGUAAAGGGCGCGUAGGCGGUUAUAUAAGUGAGAUGUGAAAAUCCCUGGGCUUAACCUAGGAACUGCAUCUCAUACUGUAUGACUGGAGUAUUGUAGAGGGUAGUGGAAUUUCCGGUGUAGCGGUGAAAUGCGUAGAGAUCGGAAGGAACACCAGUGGCGAAGGCGGCUACCUGGACAAAUACUGACGCUGAGGCGCGAGAGCGUGGGGAGCAAACAGG